UACGAAGGGGGCUAGCGUUGCUCGGAAUGACUGGGCGUAAAGGGCGCGUAGGCGGCUUGUAUAGUCGGAUGUGAAAUUCCUGGGCUUAACCUGGGGGCUGCAUACGAGACGUAUGGGCUUGAGUGCGGAAGAGGGUCGUGGAAUUCCCGAGUGUAGAGGUGAAAUUCGUAGAUAUGGGAAGAACACCGAGGUCGAAGGCGGCGACUGUCG
RNAcentral lists this ribosomal RNA (210 nucleotides) under uncultured bacterium. RNAcentral describes it as "partial 16S ribosomal RNA". It matches the Rfam family "Bacterial small subunit ribosomal RNA", at positions 524 to 734 of the family's 1533-position model. The record is from RNAcentral.